Molecule: ribosomal RNA, 432 nt
Filed under: fungal endophyte
Lineage: Eukaryota; Fungi
Description: eukaryotic LSU rRNA
Rfam family: Eukaryotic large subunit ribosomal RNA
Source: RNAcentral
GGCGAAGACUCCUGCCUAAGUCCCNUGGAACGGGGCGUCAUAGAGGGUGAGAAUCCCGUAUGUGGCGGGCAGUCUAAGCCAUGUGAAGCUCCUUCGACGAGUCGAGUUGUUUGGGAAUGCAGCUCUAAAUGGGAGGUAAAUUUCUUCUAAAGCUAAAUAUUGGCCAGAGACCGAUAGCGCACAAGUAGAGUGAUCGAAAGAUGAAAAGCACUUUGGAAAGAGAGUUAAAAAGUACGUGAAAUUGUUGAAAGGGAAGCGCUUGCAACCAGACUCGCUCGUAGUUGCUCAGCCGGCCUCUUGGCCGGUGUACUCUUCUACGAUCGGGCCAGCAUCAGUUCGGGCGGCAGGAUAAAGGUGUCGGGAAUGUAGCACCCUUCGGGGUGUGUUAUAGCCCGGCGCGGAAUGCUGCCAGCCUGGACUGAGGAUCUCGCU